This is a long non-coding RNA of Sapajus apella (tufted capuchin), 120 nucleotides long. RefSeq lists it as uncharacterized. The transcript has 3 exons. The record is from RefSeq and is a predicted model, not a curated record. NCBI's taxonomy places the organism in Eukaryota, Metazoa, Chordata, Mammalia, Primates, Cebidae.
AAGAACUUCCUCACUUUCUUUGUAGGGCACUAAUCUGUUCAUGAGGGAUCAACUCCCAUGACCCAAACAUCUCCCAUUAACCCCCACCUCCAACACUGAAGAUCAGAUUUCAACAUGAGA